Molecule: non-coding RNA, 79 nt
Organism: Salmo salar (Atlantic salmon)
Lineage: Eukaryota; Metazoa; Chordata; Actinopteri; Salmoniformes; Salmonidae
Source: Rfam
UGUUGUCCGGGGCUCUUUUAAUGUUGUACUACUGUGAAAUCAGAUGAGCAGUGCAAUAUUAAAAGGGCAUUGGCUGACA